RNAcentral lists this long non-coding RNA (1268 nucleotides) under Equus caballus (horse). Its description in RNAcentral is "lncRNA (ENSECAG00000041015.2)". Lineage: Eukaryota; Metazoa; Chordata; Mammalia; Perissodactyla; Equidae. The record is from RNAcentral.
GAUUACUCUUGGCAGCACAAUCCCUUCAAACCACACAUUUUGAGUAACAGAAACCCUGAAGACAGCUAAAGGAUGUCAAGAUACUCAAGACAUCUUUUUCAUGACAAAAAUCUUAUCCAGGAGCUGAAUUCCUCCCCACUUGAAAAGUCAGAGAGCAGUUAGAACCAGAAGAGAUCAACCUGGAGAGAGUAGAAAAUGUCAUGGAAUCCAAGGACUACCAUAGCCAAAAAUGACUCUGAUUUCAGAUGUGAGCACUGUGCUAAAUGCUUUAACUAGAGGAUUCCAUCCGGUCCGGAGUCUCAUGAGCCCUUGCAAAGUAGAGACAUUCAUUGUAUACGUUUUUGAGGUAAGGAAACCGAGACGGAGAUGAGCAAUAAUGUUCUGUCCUGAGCUAACAUCUGUCACCAAUCCUUCUCUUUUUGCUGAGGAAGACUGGCCCUGAGCUAGCAUCCGUGCCCAUCUUCAACUACUUUAUAUGUGGGAUGCCUGUCACAGCAUGGCUUAAGCAAUGUGUAGGUCUGCACCAGGGAUCUGAACCGGCGAACCCUGGGCCACCAAAGCAGAACGUGUGAACCCAAUCGCUGCGCCACUGGGCUGGUCCCUGGUAGUAAUCUUUCAAAAUGUGAUUUUUAAAUAUUAUGUAAAGAAAUGUGCCAAUGUUUAGAAGAUCUAUAUGAAUAAUUCAUUGAACUAAUAUUUCCCAAUGCCCAUUGGAUGAUAUUUUAAAAAGUAUCUAUGGGUAAAAGAUUCAUCAAAGUGAAAGAUAGACCAAAGGAUUUUGAUGCAAUAGAGUAAAGUUUAUUGAUGUAAUUUCAGAGAUCACAGUGCAACUAAAAGAAUGUGCCAUUUAUAGAGUUUGAUCCAUUAUCUAAGAAAAAUAUUUACAAUUCUGAAAAUGUUGUUAAAAUACUCUUCCCUUUUCCUACUACAUAUCUGUGUAAGUCCAUAAUUUUUUUAUAUACUUCAACCAAAACAAUAUAUUGCAAGAGACUGAAUACAGAAACACAUCUGAGAAUACAUCUUUCUUCUAUUAAGUCAGACAUUGCAAAAAUGUAAAAUAAUGCCAUUCUUCUCACUAAUUUUUUUUGUUUUGGAAAAUGUAGAUUUUUCCAAAAACAUUUUAUUCAUGUUAACAUGCAGAGGGUUUAAUAUUCUUAUUUUACAGGGAUUUAACAUACAAAACAUUUUUAAACUUCCCAUUUUUAAUUCCUAAUAUGAUAAAUAUUGAUGGACGCACCCUACAAAACAUAGCUCUUUAUGCGUAAUGG